Molecule: long non-coding RNA, 1403 nt
Organism: Lolium rigidum
Lineage: Eukaryota; Viridiplantae; Streptophyta; Magnoliopsida; Poales; Poaceae
Exons: 4
Source: RefSeq, a predicted model, not a curated record
CGAUCUGUCUUGGGGCGAGCUCUUAGGCGCCACGGCGCUGUAGUUAUUCGCCGAGUUGCUCGCGCUGGCGCUCGGGAUACUCACCGUGGUGCUCCCUGCGGACGACGAGGAGUAGUCUGACCUACGUACUCUUGUCGCCCUUGACAGGACCGGCACGCCUCUCCUCGAGUCCCAAACGAACAAGCUCUAGACUCCCUCGAGCAAUCAUUGUAUCUCUGUCUACAUGAUACACACCGUGAGGUUGCAGAAAACGAAGCAGUGAGAGCGGAUGGAUCCAUCAGUUAGAAGAUGCUUUCUUGAUAUGUUCCCUGUCAGUCAAAAUAGUCUAUCUGGAUUCUGGCUUCCAUGUUGUACUCAUUGAACUGAGAGCAGCUGAAACUAUCAGAAGGUAUAUUUUUAAGUCUCAGUAACUUGAUAUUCGGCCACAUGCCCGCAUGAGCGAAAACAAAAUGCCGUUUACUUGCUUGCAUUAUACACGGAUUGACUAAAUGUUGGUAAUUGUUCUUCAGCCACUUGGUCUCUCCUAUGUAAAAUUUUAUAAGAAUGGAUAUUGGAGUGUUAUUUAUGCAUGUCUUAUCAUACAGGUGGCAUAGCAAAACUGCUCAAUAACAAUGGUGUUCUUGCAGCUCUCCAUAGUCUUCCUGGUGCUGAUCCGCUCCACUGUGUUGAUGUGCCCAUCAGUACAGAAUCCAAGGCCUAUAUCCCCGCUGUUGUCGGUAGAGCUGCAACGACGUGCUCGCUCUGCUGCUGCUUCCGCCAACGCGUCUAGCAAGGGCAGGUGAGCAUUCGCCUCCUUCCCAUCUGGUGGGCUUCUUUUCUCUUCCACCCAAGGCCUCCACCCAAGGCUUCUUUUCUCAUACACCUGAUUCAAGGCGUGCUUGAAGUACAAGGCUGGGCGUGGCCGUCGUUGGUAAGGGUGAGGCUAGGCACUGAUACUAUCUUGGGGUGUGUCUUUGUAGUUAGUCUAGGUUUCACAUCAGCUAGGUGUAAGCUGAUUGCUUUCAUUAGUUAAAUGCAAGUUAAUUGAUUUCCCUGCGGUGCAGAUUCCGUUUGAUAGUUUCUUGGAACAAUACAAUAAUAUAAACUCCAAUGCUUAUAGUUGAAUGAUGCUUUAGUUUGGUUAUGAAACACCUCUAUUCUAUGCUUUCCUAUUGGUGUUUCUAUGGGGCUUCAGAUGUUUUGAGAUGUUUCGUUGUAGAUGCAGUAGAUGCACGUGUUUCCAUAAUAUAUGAAAAUUUAGAAGUGUCUACCUUGAAUAUGUUCUUCGGCGUUUCCAAGUUUAUAAUUUGUUCAUACGGCAUAGUUAUUGGCGAGGUAUACUAAUGUGAGUUUUAGUAAGCUGCAGGUAUAGAGAGGGACGAGGAGAUAGAGAGUGUAUCUUAACUGGACCUAAAGUCAGGAGU